This 264-nucleotide long non-coding RNA is filed under the name Gossypium raimondii (Peruvian cotton). RNAcentral's name for it is "long non-coding RNA (GRAI_LNC008854)". Lineage: Eukaryota; Viridiplantae; Streptophyta; Magnoliopsida; Malvales; Malvaceae. The record is from RNAcentral.
UUGGUGCAGUUGUCAGGGAUUGUGUCGGUGAUAAUUGUUUUUGAAUUAAUUACUUUGUAAAAUAAUAUCGAUCGAAAGACGAAUAAGCUAGAUAGCGUGUUAAUUUUUAUUUUAUUUUAUUUUAUUGUUCAUUAUUUUUUCUUAUUUUUAUUUUGUUAGUUACCUUGUUGAUUUUUAAAAAAAUCUAAUCAUGGGUGAAUUUUAUGGCGCCCCAAACCUGGCCGGAACGGAACGGAACAGACCGACCCGAAUCCGGAACGUCAC